CAGGGAAUAUUGCGCAAUGGGCGAAAGCCUGACGCAGCGACGCCGCGUGGGGGAUGAAGGCCCUCGGGUUGUAAACCCCUUUCAGCAGGGACGAAAACAGACGGUACCUGCAGAAGAAGCCCCGGCCAACUACGUGCCAGCAGCCGCGGUAACACGUAGGGGGCAAGCGUUGUCCGGAUUUAUUGGGCGUAAAGAGCUCGUAGGCGGCUCGGUAAGUCAGGUGUGAAACCUCCAGGCUCAACCUGGAGACGCCACUUGAUACUGCUGUGGCUAGAGUCCGGUAGGGGAACGUGGAAUUCCCAGUGUAGCGGUGAAAUGCGCAGAUAUUGGGAGGAACACCAGCGGCGAAGGCGGCGCUCUGGGCCGGAACUGACGCUGAGGAGCGAAAGCGUGGGGAGCGAACAG
Molecule: ribosomal RNA, 405 nt
Filed under: uncultured bacterium
Lineage: Bacteria
Description: bacterial SSU rRNA
Rfam family: Bacterial small subunit ribosomal RNA
Source: RNAcentral